CUGGAUUGAAAGUGGAGCAGCCAGAACUCAAACCAGUGCCCACAUGUGAUGCCAGCACUACAGACAGUGGCUUAACCUGCUACGCCACAGCACCGGCCCUUUCCCACUUUUUAAAUUAUUUAUAUAAAGGAUUGGUGGUUGCCAGUCCACAACCCUCAACACAGCUGACUCGCAUCCUAUGUGAUCUGAGUAACAACUGCACUGCAUUCUGCAGCUCCAGGACUAUAGCUACCCUGUCUAACGUACUUGGGCCUCAUUCCUGUGUAAUCAUAACCUCUACUCUACCACCAAUGGCUCUACUCCCAACCUGUGUGUACUGAUGGUCCUCUUCCCCACUUAAUGCUGUAUAAUUGUUCAAACCUGGUAAAUGCCACUCUUAGGAUCAUUGGUUACUAUCCUCACUCUGUCUUGUAUGACCUUGUCUAAACAUGAUCAGAGUCGGCAAACUUGGAAGGCUUCCAUAGCCUUGGCA
Lepus europaeus (European hare) is the source of this 472-nucleotide long non-coding RNA. RefSeq lists it as uncharacterized. The record is from RefSeq and is a predicted model, not a curated record. NCBI's taxonomy places the organism in Eukaryota, Metazoa, Chordata, Mammalia, Lagomorpha, Leporidae. The transcript is spliced from 3 exons.